RNAcentral lists this long non-coding RNA (791 nucleotides) under Homo sapiens (human). RNAcentral describes it as "HSALNT0038829". The record is from RNAcentral. Lineage: Eukaryota; Metazoa; Chordata; Mammalia; Primates; Hominidae.
CCAAGUCUCUCCCCAGUUUACCCUAACAUGCGAGUUGAAGUUUUCCCUCCUGUGCGGUGGAGGUAAAGCUUAUUUCCCGCUGGCCCUGUGGAAAAUGCAGGGAGCAGGGACCAUUCCCGAAAUCCCCACUCAGCACCAACCACGGAAGGAGCAGCACACACUUACUUCUCUGUGCAGUUGGAAGAUGCAAAAUGGAAGCUCAGUGUUCGAUGGUUCAUCCAAGGAGAGUUUGCCUCAACAGAACGUAAGCCCAAGCAGGCCCGUACCGAGAACUCAAUAGACACAAGCAUGGGAGGAAUGAGGGACUCCGGAGGCAAACGUUGGUGGAGGCGCUUGGACGAGGCACUGCAGCCAGCAGCGAGCCAGGGAAGGCUCCGAGCAGAAGAGGGGCCUGAGGGAAGGCACACAGGGGCGCUCAGAGGGAGCCCAGAGUCAGACACAGGAAAAAACCAGCUCAGCCCAGCCUUCUGUUAUUCAACCCCUCCAUGCUCUGUGGGAAGAGGGUACACAGAAUCCCUGAAUUCAGUCAUUAAUAGCAGAUGCAGAGACCUUUCUAACUUGGAGGCUUAGAUGUCAAAUACAUGGUUUUAACGAAAGUGAAGUCAAUUAGUAUGUUCUUGUGUCUUACUCAACUUGUGUGUGCGCAAGCUUGUGUUAUUAACCUGUUGAGAAAGCCACAGGCGCUGAAGAACCAGAGAAGCGCCGGGGCUCCCAGGGGCUCUCUUUGGAGCCUUCAGUGCCCUGGACAGUGAAACAGCCUCCAUCUCUUUCACAGUUGGUGCUGUACUAGG